AUGUUUGUUGCUACAGUUGUUGUCUUAAGAGGUAUAGCAAGUGACCGUUCAGUAUCAAAAUAUUCUCGUGGAGAUGCCGUUGGAUCCCUUAAAAUUGUCAUAUCAUUUGAUUUCGUGUUCAUUCUACAUCUGAUGGAAAAGAUUAUGAAGAUCACUGAUGUGUUGUGUAAGAAACUCCAAUACAAAUCUUUGGAUAUUUUAAAUGCCAUGGAUUCUGUUUCUAACACAAAGGUCCUACUUGGUGAGCUAAGGGAACAUGGUUGGGACUCUCUUUUAGAGGAGGUCAAAUAUUUUUGUGUGAAGCACGAGAUUGAUAUCCCAGAUUUGGACCGCAAGUAUGUUGAUGUUACCAAAUCUCGAAAUAAGCAUGACAACACAACAACGCUCCACCACUACAAAGUCGAUGUUUUCAGUGUUGCAAUUGAUCAACAACUGAGUGAACUAAAUGAUCGAUUCAGUACACAAGCAACUGAGCUCCUUACUCUCUGUUCAUCAUUGGAUCCAAGGCAUGAAUCUUUUGAUAUCCCAAAGAUAAGCACUCUUGCAGAAAAAUUAUAUCCUGCUGAUUUUUCAAGUCAAGAAUUAGCUCAGUUGGAAAGUCAGCUACCUCAUUUUCAGCUAGAUGUGUGCAACCAUCCAGAACUGAUGACCUUGCCAUCUAUUGCUUGUUUAACAAAAGGGCUAUCUCAACGGCAACUGCAGAGCGGGAAAAUUGUCAAGACACGUCUUCGAAGUAAAAUGGGAGAUGAUUUGCUUCGCCAUUGCAUGAUAAUUUACAUAGAAAAAAAAUUAGCAGCUAAGAUAUCUUCUGAUGAAAUUAUUAAUAUUUUUGAUCUUAUUGGCAAUCGUAGAGGCCACUUUAAAUUAAUAGAAAUGUAA
This 879-nucleotide ribosomal RNA is filed under the name Triticum aestivum (bread wheat). RNAcentral describes it as "partial small subunit ribosomal RNA". Lineage: Eukaryota; Viridiplantae; Streptophyta; Magnoliopsida; Poales; Poaceae. The record is from RNAcentral.